Molecule: ribosomal RNA, 549 nt
Filed under: uncultured Glomus
Lineage: Eukaryota; Fungi; Glomeromycota; Glomeromycetes; Glomerales; Glomeraceae
Also listed under: 3 other names
Description: SSU rRNA
Rfam family: Eukaryotic small subunit ribosomal RNA
Source: RNAcentral
UUGGAGGGCAAGUCUGGUGCCAGCAGCCGCGGUAAUUCCAGCUCCAAUAGCGUAUAUUAAAGUUGUUGCAGUUAAAAAGCUCGUAGUUGAAUUUCGGGGUUAGUAGGUUGGUCAUGCCUCUGGUAUGUACUGGUCUCACUGAUUCCUCCUUCCUGAUGAGCCGUAAUGCCAUUAAUUUGGUGUUGCGGGGAAUUUGGACUGUUACUUUGAAAAAAUUAGAGUGUUUAAAGCAAGCUAACGCUUGAAUACAUUAGCAUGGAAUAAUGAAAUAGGACGUUCGAUCCUAUUUUGUUGGUUUCUAGGAUUGACGUAAUGAUUAAUAGGGAUAGUUGGGGGCAUUAGUAUUCAAUUGUCAGAGGUGAAAUUCUUGGAUUUAUUGAAGACUAACUACUGCGAAAGCAUUUGCCAAGGAUGUUUUCAUUAAUCAAGAACGAAAGUUAGGGGAUCGAAGACGAUCAGAUACCGUCGUAGUCUUAACCAUAAACUAUGCCGACUAGGGAUCGGAUGAUGUUAAUUUUUUAAUGACUCAUUCGGCGCCUUACGGGAAAC